AUUUUUUACCGAACUCUCCUGAAGUUUGAGUGGCAGCUAAGACCUGUCGUUGGAAGCAAUCAAUUUGCAGGUGAACACAAGUUGAUAAACAAAAUUUACGUGCAUUUCCCUUUGUAUCAGUUUCCAGGGUAAUAGUAAUACUAACCAGGGCAGAAGUGUGAACUUGAUGAUUACCUCAACAUAGCCAUCUCCAAGUGUGACUCCACUUCCAAAGUUGUAAGCACGCGCAAUAUGCCUGUUGAGUGAUGCUGAGUUGAAUUGAGUGAGAAUAUAAACUUUGUUGAUCCCACUGUUGAUACAGUUGCUCAUAGGUACAUCGAUCAGCCUAUAUGAUCCUCCAAUGGAAACCUGAAAUAUUAAGAAUAGAAUAAAUCUUUGACUAAAGUAGAGGAAUUGUUCAACUGGAACAUUUGUUAUGUCUGUUCACUGCAGGUAUGAAGACUUACAGCAGGCUUGGCACGCUGCUUAGUCAAAGGAAACAAACGAGUGCCAGCUCCACCUCCUAGUAUAACGGCUACAACGGUUCUCGCAUCCCUUUUCUCCAUCUCCAGGUCCCUCAACUGUACAGGGUAACAGAGUUCUUUAAGGUAACAAUACAUCUUGUAUCCUUGUAUAAAUAAGAACAGUGAAAAAUAACCUGGAUUGUAUAUGAGUGGGUGGAAUGGGGGACGGGGGCUGCCCUCUAUUGUUUGAAUUAGUUAGAACUCACCUUAGCCUCACCUGCAACAUCUGCUGUAAGCGACAUGCAGAUUGGAUUCUUAUUACCAUAGUGCUUAGUCCUCUGCUGAAAUUGUGUUGACUUAAGCUUCUCCCCCAUGAACUCUCCACUCCCAAACUUCACGAGCCUCCCGUUUCUUCUCGACAAUCCGGCAAUGCCAUGCAAUUGGCCGGCGGCUGACAGCGCUAUUCGCCCGUCGGCGGUAACUGUCAUCUUGUUGCAGAGAAGAGAAUAUAAUGAAAUUCUAUAAACUUGUGAUUUUUAAGGCAGAAACUGGUCAACAGUGGGUCCUGUUGUGCCUCCAUGGGAUGCAUGCCAUAGGAGGAUUGAGACACGCUAUCCAAAUUCAAUUGCAUCCACCAAUUUUUAAUGUUCAUGUGAAUUUUGGAAAAGGAAAAUUAGAUCUGUAAUUUUACAGAAAAGUCCUCACACAUGCUCUGCUAUCUUGGAGUUUGGAAUAUUCUAAUGGUUUUCACCGUGGGAAUGAAGAUUUUUUUAACUCAACUCAUAGCCUUAUUGACAUGUUAGUGAACAACUCAGUUAAAACUUGGAUGAAAGUUCAACAACUACCUAUGGCGGAAGCUGAAGUAGCUACUCUCGAAGUAGCAAAAAGGGGAAAAAAAGAAGAAGAAGAAGAA
RNAcentral lists this long non-coding RNA (1356 nucleotides) under Olea europaea (common olive). RNAcentral's name for it is "long non-coding RNA (OEUR_LNC011688)". Lineage: Eukaryota; Viridiplantae; Streptophyta; Magnoliopsida; Lamiales; Oleaceae. The record is from RNAcentral.